This 869-nucleotide ribosomal RNA is filed under the name uncultured Bacillota bacterium. RNAcentral's name for it is "bacterial SSU rRNA". It matches the Rfam family "Bacterial small subunit ribosomal RNA", at positions 67 to 916 of the family's 1533-position model. Lineage: Bacteria; Bacillati; Bacillota. The record is from RNAcentral.
CGGAAGUCGUUAUAACUCAGAACGAAGAUUUAUCUGAGGGACGAGAUAUAACAAUGGCUUUAGUGGCGGACUGGUGAGUAACACGUAAGAAACCUGCCUAUUAGAGGGGAAUAACAACGAGAAAUCGUUGCUAAUACCGCAUAAGCUAGUAGUACCGCAUGGUACAGCUAGAAAAGGAGAAAUCCGCUAAUAGAUGGUCUUGCGUCCGAUUAGCUAGUUGGUGGGGUAACGGCCUACCAAGGCAACGAUCGGUAGCCGAGCUGAGAGGCUCAACGGCCACAUUGGGACUGAGAUACGGCCCAGACUCCUACGGGAGGCAGCAGUCGGGAAUAUUGCGCAAUGGAGGAAACUCUGACGCAGUGACGCCGCGUAUAGGAAGAAGGUUUUCGGAUUGUAAACUAUUUUAGACAGGGAAGAAAUUGACAGUACCUGUAGAAUAAGCUCCGGCUAACUACGUGCCAGCAGCCGCGGUAAUACGUAGGGAGCAAGCGUUAUCCGGAUUUAUUGGGUGUAAAGGGUGCGUAGACGGGAGAACAAGUUAGUUGUGAAAGCCCUCGGCUUAACUGAGGAACUGCAACUAAAACUAUUUUUCUUGAGUGCAGGAGAGGAAAGCGGAAUUCCUAGUGUAGCGGUGAAAUGCGUAGAUAUUAGGAGGAACACCAGUGGCGAAGGCGGCUUUCUGGACUGUAACUGACGUUGAGGCACGAAAGUGUGGGGAGCAAACAGGAUUAGAUACCCUGGUAGUCCACACCGUAAACGAUGGAUACUAGGUGUAGGAGAUGAUUUCAUCAUCUGUGCCGAAAGCAAACGCAAUAAGUAUCCCACCUGGGGAGUACGGCCGCAAGGUUGCAACUCAAAUGAAUUGACGG